CCUCUUUUACCCAGGCUGGUCUCAAACUCCUAGGCUCAAGUGAUCCUCCUACUUUGACCCCCCCAAAGUGCUGACAUGAGAGGCAUGAGCCAGCACUCCUGCCAAUAUGUUAACAUUCUCACAUUUGUUUCUUGAAUCAUUCUUUCUGUUUCUUGGUGGGAUUCUUGGUUUGUAGAGGGUGCUUUAAUACAGAAUGCCUGUUUUCCAUGGUGAUUAUGCUGUUACUCAUCUCCACUGCAAAGUGAGAAAUCCCAGUGUUCCACUUCUGUGCACUCCCUGUUUGGGCCAUUCUGGUGGGUGUACACUGGUAUCUCAUUGUGGUUUCAAUUGCAUUUUCUAGAUUAUUAGUGAGGUUUGAUACCGUUUCAUAUGUGCAUUAAUCAGUUGGAUAUUCUUUUUUGUGAAGUGCCAAUUGAAGUUUUGUACCGAUUUUUCUAUCUGGUUACCUUUUUUUCUUUUCAGUCAUUCAUGUGAGUGUCAUUGUGUGUUUGGGACAUGAACUCCUGGCUCUCUUUCUCAUAGAGCUUUCUCCCUCACUCAGGCCUGUGCAGCCACUUAAAGGUGCUUUCUGAUGAACAGAAGUUAGUGAAAUCCAGUUUGUUUCUACUUCAGUGGUUAUUCAUUUUGGUUCUUAAGAAAUCUUUUUCUUCCCCAGAUUUUCUUUUAUACUUUAAAGUUUUAUUGCAUUAACUUUCAUGUUAAGAGCUGUAGUACAAUUGGACUUGAUUUUUGUGCAUGUUGUGAGAUUGGGGUCACAUGUCAUAUUUUUCCCAUAGGGAUUUUGUCCAUAGCGUCCUUGUGCCAGCUCCUUUGGAUGAAAAGACUGUCCAUGGGCACUAUUCUGGGGUGCCGCCUUUGUCUGAACCAAGUGAUUGUCUGUACUUGUGCCUCUUCUGGUCUGGCAGCUUUUCCCUCAGUGACUGACUGCACUUGUUGGCACCUGUAGUGUGUUGUGGAGUAGAAAUGGUGACAGUGUGCUUCCUGGCCUUUUUCUUAGUAGCAGAGAAAAAGCUUUCCAGAUUUCACACACGAAGUAUGAUGUUUGUUUUAGGAGUCUCUUUUUAAGUACUUUUGAAUCUUAAGGAUGUUUUCUUCUGUUUCUGUUAAACUUCGUCAAAUGCUUUUCCUGCAUUACUUGAUCAUAGAAUUUUUAUGUUUUUCUGUUAAUGUGUGAAUUACUGACUUUUCAAAUGUUGACACAGUCUUCCAUUUCUGGAAUUAAACUGCUUUGAUCAUAAUAUUGGUUAUAUGGAUACAUAUUUCUGGUCUUGGUUUGCUAUUUUUUAAAGACAGUUUUGCAUUUGUAUUUGUAAUUUUUCUGGAUUUUGCAUGCCAUUUUCCUUGUGAUUUUUUUGGUGACCUCCAAUUUUCUUUUCUUAUAAUGCCCUGUAAGUUACUGGUAUUGAUGACCACCACCCCUUUACUAACAGAGCAGCUGCAAAUCAGGAAGAGGGUGAUGCCCAUGCAGCCCUGCUAGUUUCCGUCUCUCCACCGGAGAAUGUUAGCGAGCUGGGGGAGAUACUGGCUGAUGGAUCCACUGGCAGGAAAACGUAAUAGACAUUCAGGUUUUUGUAACCAAGGUUGUGCUAGUCUCAUAGAGUGAGUAGGAGAAUGUUUGUUCCUAUUCUUUUCUUGGAAGGGUGUAUAUAAGAUUGGUAAAAUUUGCCAUGUAAGCUCCCCGCAGGCCCCACCCAGGCAGCUGCCGGUGACCUGCCUGGGCGUGGGGAACGGAAAGCCGGAGCGGGCAAGAUGAGUUCAAUUCACCAUGGGGCUGUUGGUUAAAACCCAGGAGAAGCCACCAAAAUAACUGGUCAAUGAAUGGUCACUGAAAGGAAAUCAGAGUUGUUGACAGGCAAAUAAGGGAUAUCCAAAGAGAAGAAGAAGACGUGAAACGAUCUGUGAAAGAUGCAGCCAAGAAGGGCCAGAAGGAUGUCUGCACAGCUCUGGCCAGGGCCAUGAUCAGGUCAGGGACGGCCAUGAGCAAGCUGUAUGCAUCCAAAGCACACAUGAACUCGGUGCUCAUGGGGAUGAGGAACCAGCUCGCGGUCUUGAGAGUGGCUGGUUCCCUCCAGAAGAGCACAGAAGUGAUGAGGGCCGUGCAAAGUCUUGUGAAGAUUCCAGAAAUUCAGGCCACCAUGAGGGAGCUGUCCAAAGAAAUGCUGAAGGCUGGGAUCACAGAGAUGUUAGAGGACACUUUCGAAAGCAUGGACGAUCAGGAAGAAAUGGAGGAAGAAGCAGAAAUGGAAAUUGACAAAAUUCUGUUUGAAAUUACAGCAGGGGCCUUGGGCAAAGCACCUGGUAAAGUGACUGAUGCCCUUCCAGAGCCAGAACCUUCAGGAGCGAUGGCCGCCUCAGAGGACGAGGAGGAGGAAGAAGCUCUGGAGGCCAUGCGGUCCCGGCUGGCCACACUCCACAGCGAGGGGUGGCCUACCUGCUGGGUGUGCACACGCUCCUCUGAAGAGCUGCCGUUUCAUGUAUUUCUUGCAUCACACCUCUGUUGUGAGGACUACCAUGUUGGAGAAGGCUCUGUUUGUCUCUUUUCACUCUCUGCCCAGGUUUUGGGAUUGAAAAGUGGUUGUUCUUAAAAAGGUUGUGUAAAUAAAGGCAUCAUUUUUAGGAGUAUAGACAGAAAUAUCUUAUUGUGGGGAGGGGAAGGAAAUCCAUCUCCUCAUAAAGCACUUCUGAAAAUACAGGUGAUUGCCUGAAUGUUGAAGACUCUACUUUUGUCUAUAAAACACUAUAUAAAUGAAUUUUAAUAAAUUUUUGCUUUAGCACCUGGC
Sapajus apella (tufted capuchin) is the source of this 2780-nucleotide RNA transcript. It is a transcript of the gene named charged multivesicular body protein 3 pseudogene, with no coding region annotated. The transcript has a single exon. The record is from RefSeq and is a predicted model, not a curated record. Lineage: Eukaryota; Metazoa; Chordata; Mammalia; Primates; Cebidae.